UGCGUAGGUGGGCAGGUAAGUCAGUGGUGAAAUCUCCGGGCUUAACUCGGAAACUGCCAUUGAUACUAUCUGUCUUGAAUACCGUGGAGGUCAGCGGAAUAUGUCAUGUAGCGGUGAAAUGCUUAGAUAUGACAUAGAACAUCAAUUGCGAAGGCAGCUGGCUACACGAAUAUUGACACUGAUGCACGAAAGCUGGGGAUCAAACA
Molecule: ribosomal RNA, 206 nt
Filed under: uncultured bacterium
Lineage: Bacteria
Description: partial 16S ribosomal RNA
Rfam family: Bacterial small subunit ribosomal RNA
Source: RNAcentral